This is a long non-coding RNA of Photinus pyralis (common eastern firefly), 203 nucleotides long. RefSeq lists it as uncharacterized. The transcript has 3 exons. The record is from RefSeq and is a predicted model, not a curated record. NCBI's taxonomy places the organism in Eukaryota, Metazoa, Arthropoda, Insecta, Coleoptera, Lampyridae.
UGUAGAUGUGCAAGUGUUAGUAUUGUCAGCGAGUAUUUGGUGACUUUCUUUAUUAGUGCAUCCUGUGAGAAACUGAGAAUAAAGGUUACAGUUAAGAAUAAAAUCCAAGCUGUUGGGUCUUGUGAGUGGGACUUUCGCCUCUGCUGCAGAGUAGGACGGGGGGUCGCAAGGAAAGGGAAAAAAUAAAUUCGAUAUUCCGUUUU